This 497-nucleotide ribosomal RNA is filed under the name uncultured bacterium. RNAcentral's name for it is "partial 16S ribosomal RNA". It matches the Rfam family "Bacterial small subunit ribosomal RNA", at positions 28 to 507 of the family's 1533-position model. The record is from RNAcentral.
GAUGAACGCUGGCGGCGUGCCUAAUACAUGCAAGUCGAGCGAACAGACGAGGAGCUUGCUCCUCUGACGUUAGCGGCGGACGGGUGAGUAACACGUGGAUAACCUACCUAUAAGACUGGGAUAACUUCGGGAAACCGGAGCUAAUACCGGAUAAUAUAUUGAACCGCAUGGUUCAAUAGUGAAAGACGGUUUUGCUGUCACUUAUAGAUGGAUCCGCGCCGCAUUAGCUAGUUGGUAAGGUAACGGCUUACCAAGGCAACGAUGCGUAGCCGACCUGAGAGGGUGAUCGGCCACACUGGAACUGAGACACGGUCCAGACUCCUACGGGAGGCAGCAGUAGGGAAUCUUCCGCAAUGGGCGAAAGCCUGACGGAGCAACGCCGCGUGAGUGAUGAAGGUCUUCGGAUCGUAAAACUCUGUUAUUAGGGAAGAACAAAUGUGUAAGUAACUAUGCACGUCUUGACGGUACCUAAUCAGAAAGCCACGGCUAACUACGGG